RNAcentral lists this ribosomal RNA (580 nucleotides) under uncultured bacterium. RNAcentral's name for it is "bacterial SSU rRNA". It matches the Rfam family "Bacterial small subunit ribosomal RNA", at positions 8 to 635 of the family's 1533-position model. The record is from RNAcentral.
AGAGUUUGAUCAUGGCUCAGGAUGAACGCUGGCGGCGUGCUUAACACAUGCAAGUCGAACGAACCCUCGGGUUAGUGGCGGACGGGUGAGUAACGCGUGAGAAUCUGCCCUCAGGAGGGGGAUAACAGUUGGAAACGACUGCUAAUACCCCAUAUGCCGAGAGGUAAAAUGAAUUUUGCCUGGGGAUGAGCUCGCGUCUGAUUAGCUUGUUGGUGGGGUAAAGGCCUACCAAGGCUUCGAUCAGUAGCUGGUCUGAGAGGACGAUCAGCCACACUGGGACUGAGACACGGCCCACACUCCUACGGGAGGCAGCAGUGGGGAAUUUUCCGCAAUGGGCGCAAGCCUGACGGACCAACGCCGCGUGAGGGAUGGAGGCCUUUGGGCUGUAAACCUCUUUUCUCAAGGAAUAAGAUCUGACGGUACUUGAGGAAUAAGCCACGGCUAAUUCCGUGCCAGCAGCCGCGGUAAUACGGGAGUGGCAAGCGUUAUCCGGAAUUAUUGGGCGUAAAGCGUCCGCAGGCGGCCGUUUAAGUCUGUUGUUAAAUCGUGGAGCUCAACUCCAUCACGGCAAUGGAAACUG